This 398-nucleotide ribosomal RNA is filed under the name uncultured bacterium. RNAcentral's name for it is "partial 16S ribosomal RNA". It matches the Rfam family "Bacterial small subunit ribosomal RNA", at positions 523 to 918 of the family's 1533-position model. The record is from RNAcentral.
AUACGUAGGGUGCGAGCGUUGUCCGGAAUUACUGGGCGUAAAGAGCUCGUAGGUGGUUUGUCGCGUCGUCUGUGAAAUUCCGGGGCUUAACUCCGGGCGUGCAGGCGAUACGGGCAUAACUUGAGUACUGUAGGGGAGACUGGAAUUCCUGGUGUAGCGGAGAAAUGCGCAGAUAUCAGGAGGAACACCGGUGGCGAAGGCGGGUCUCUGGGCAGUAACUGACGCUGAGGAGCGAAAGCAUGGGUAGCGAACAGGAUUAGAUACCCUGGUAGUCCAUGCCGUAAACGGUGGGCGCUAGGUGUAGGGGUCUUCCACGACUUCUGUGCCGUAGCUAACGCAUUAAGCGCCCCGCCUGGGGAGUACGGCCGCAAGGCUAAAACUCAAAUGAAUUGACGGGG